This 200-nucleotide unclassified non-coding RNA is filed under the name soil metagenome. Its description in RNAcentral is "partial contains internal transcribed spacer 2 and large subunit ribosomal RNA". The record is from RNAcentral.
CAUACCUGUUCGAGCGUCAUUACACCCCUCAAAGAUAACUCUUUGGCGUUGGGCAAUGCCUAAAGGCAUGCCUCAAAAUCAGCGAUGGUGAUAUUCAACCACAGGCGCACAAAUGUCGUCUAGCUGGCGGGAUGUUGUCAGUCAAUUGAUGAAUUUCUAAAUGUUGACCUCGGAUCAGGUAGGAAUACCCGCUGACUUAA